UACGUAGGCAGCAAGCGUUGUUCGGAGUUACUGGGCGUAAAGGGUGUGUAGGCGGUUCUUUUAAGUUUGGUGUGAAAUCUCCCGGCUCAACUGGGAGGGUGCGCCGAAUACUGAGGGACUAGAGUACGGGAGAGGAAAGUGGAAUUCCUGGUGUAGCGGUGAAAAUGCGUAGAUAUCAGGAGGAACACCGGUGGUGUAGACGGCUUUCUGGACCGUAACUGACGCUGAAACACGAAAAGCGUGGGUAGCAAAACAGG
Molecule: ribosomal RNA, 257 nt
Filed under: uncultured bacterium
Lineage: Bacteria
Description: partial 16S ribosomal RNA
Rfam family: Bacterial small subunit ribosomal RNA
Source: RNAcentral